UUGUUUGUUUACAAUCAAUGGACGUUCAUGACACAGAUGUUUUGCAAAAGCGGCGCGAGCGCCGACGGUUCACAGGUGUUUGUGGAUUGUGGGUUAGGCCGAAGCCAAGUUCACUAAUGAUCCUUCCGCAGGUUCACCUACGGAAA
This 146-nucleotide unclassified non-coding RNA is filed under the name uncultured fungus. Its description in RNAcentral is "sequence contains ITS1". The record is from RNAcentral. Lineage: Eukaryota; Fungi.